Molecule: long non-coding RNA, 4702 nt
Filed under: Sus scrofa (pig)
Lineage: Eukaryota; Metazoa; Chordata; Mammalia; Artiodactyla; Suidae
Description: lncRNA (ENSSSCG00000063501.1)
Source: RNAcentral
CACAGCAGGCUAAUGCCUUAAAGACUGUGACCCCCCUUUGGAAGGGGUUAGGAGGUAGUUUUAUAGUUUGGGGAGUGGAAUAAGGAUCAGGGUAGAGGCAAGCAGUAUUGGUAUCUAGUGGCUUUUGGUGGUCCUCCUUCCCAGAAUUAAGAAGGCUUUAUCAAGUAGUUCUUCCAUUUAUUGGGGGUUUUAGUUCUACAGAAAGGCUCAAAGAUAUUGUUAUGUAUAUUCCUUGAGGAGGAACCAGGACCCUGUCCCAAGGCUGCACUUCUCUUCCCUGGUCUCUCCAUCUCCUCCCUUCCCAGGUUAGCAGCUGCCUUUUGGAAUACAGGGAAGGUCAUGGAGGCUGAGGCUUAUUCCUAAAAAUAAGCAAUGGAGGACACAGAAAGUCUUGUGUGCCUAUAAGCCCUACAGGGCACUAACUUGCUUACAAAAAUUCCAACAAAAUUUAAUAACAUUUAUACAUAGGAGAGACCAAGAAGAAUUGAGUAACCUGCCCAAAUGACCCAAACUCCCACUUUAAAUACUAUCUCCAGCUAAAGAAAAAAGAGGAUGUUAAGGGUAAUGGUUUGGGACUUAGAAGAAGAAGAAGGCAAUUGACGUGGAGAUAGAAAAACAGAUGUUUUGGUAAACAAAUGUUUGCUGGACCUUGCAAAGACAAUAGGACAUAGAGUGGAUAUUGAUCUCUAGACUCUGGUGAGUUUCCCCACCAUACCUAGACCAUGUUCUUUGUAGAAAUGUCUGAUAAUAGCUCUGUUCCAGGAACAGGCCUUUUAUCUGAAGUUUUAUAGGCAGUUAAAAGGCGGAUACUAGGAAAAACUUCCUAAGUUUUCUGUUUCUUAAAAACAAUCAGCCUAGGAACUCCCAUUCUGGUCUAACAGAAUCGGCAGUGUCUUGGGAGCACUGGGAUGUGGGUUUGAACCCUGGCCCAGCACGGUGGUUAAGAAUCUGGCAUUCCUGCAGCUGUGGCUUAAGUUGUGACUGCAGCUCGGGUCUGAUUCCUGGCCUGGGAGCUCCAUCUGCCACUGGGCGGCCAAAAAUGAAAAUAAAUAAAUGAAUUUUAAAAAAUCAGCAUAAAAUAAUCCUUGUACCAGAGACAUUUUGGGUAGCAAAUGUUGUGUCUGCAUACUGGCCUGACCAGGCUUUGCCCUCUGUAAGACAGAAGACAUUCAUCUAAAUAUCAAGCAGAUGACUGAAAUUUGUAAUGUACCUUAUUACACGGUAUUGCUAAUGUCAAUGAAAAAUCAACCAAUUGAUCUAAGAAAUGAAAAAUUUUAUUUAAGCCAAAUUUGAGGAUUAUAAUAUGGGUAGAACAUCUCAGAAAUUUCCAAGAACUCUUCUACCCAUUAGAGGUCAAAGGCAUGGUUAUAUAUGUUUUUUGAGAGUGGGAGCUGUACAUCAAAUGACAUUUAUUAUUGAUAGUUUACAUAUUCCACAUCUAAGCAGCAGCAUGGUGGGUCAUGUGACCUCUUAUAAGCUCACAAAGGAAUGUUACCUUUUAAGGAGCUGUCUUAAUGUUGUUAGGAGAAUGUUGCUUUUUAUGGUUGAGCAGGUAUUCCUGCUGAUGGGGGAGGUCUAGUAGAUGUAUAAUGCACACAAUUCACAGUGAGGGGAGAAUGGAGACCAAAGGGCAGAGAAGAUUUUUUUUUUUUUGCUUUCUAGGGCUGCACCCACGAUAUAUGGAGGUUCCCAGGCUUGUGGUUGAAUGAGAGCGAUAGUUGCCAGCCUACACCACAGCCACAGCCACAGCAAUGCGGGAUCCGAGCCAAGUCUUUGACCUGCACUGCAGCUCACAGCAACACCGGAUCUUCAACUGAUUGAUGCCAGGGAUUGAACCUGCAACCUCAUGGUUACUAGUCGGAUUUAUUUCCACUGAGCCACAAUGGGAACUCCGAGAAGAUUUUUUAUGUUCAAAUUUCUGUCUUGCCAUAGAAAUAUGAGUUUUAUUUCACACUAAUAUAUAUUUGAAUGUAUAACUACACAAUCUAUCAUUUUUCCUUGGCAAUGUUCAGCAAUGAUGAUUUAAAAGUCCAAAAUUUCUAGCUUCUCUUUUCAUAUUAUAGUGUUUCUCACUUCCUUUUCUCUGUACUUAGUGUUUUGCAACAAAAUACUUUUAUUAGUAACUUUUUAAUAAUGUCCUCUUUGUGGUUCACUUUUAUUACUUAUUCUCUCUGUGACCAUGAGAUAAGAUCCAGGCACCUGGCUUUGUGCCAGUCCACUCCCCUUUCCUGUAAAGAACAUCACUAGAACCAAGGGGCUAUAGACCAGACAAGUUUCAGCUUAUUUUAAUCUUUAGAUAAGCUUGGAAUUUACCUUCACCUAUUUUAGAGGUUUGUGCAUUCAAUUUCCAUUGCAAACACACAAUAAUGUCCGAAAAACCCUAUACAUCUUCUGUCUCUUUCACCCUGAGAGGAAAUGGUUAAGUUUUAGAAAUGCAGGCAACACUUUUUGGAGGUUUAGAGCAGAAUUUGGCUCUGACUCAAAGCCAGGUUGGUGAAUUAUUAUGUGGAAACAAUGGUUAAGCAAUCUGAUCAUUUCCUUAAAGUCCUUUCCCCAUAUGUUGGAAACAUUAUUGAGUAGUCAGUGAUGUUUGAGUCAGCUGGAUUUCACAAAAUAUCUUGUAUUGGUAAGGCAUCAUUUCAUCUGGAAAAUUACAUUCCAGAUUCAAAACAUUUCAUUAUUCCAAAUUUCCUGCCUGGUAAAAAUCAGCAUCAUUCGAGUUAUGGGAAAAAAAAAAAAAGGAUAAUCCAGUAAGAUCUCUACUUCAUAUGUGAAUUUGCAUUGUCUUAAUUUCUAUGAAUUAUGUAAUUUUUAUAUGUUAUACAUAUACUGUAAAGCAGAGAAUAUUUAUAAAAUGGUAUAAUUUGACUCUUCAGCUAUCGUGUGAAUAUAGAACUUAUACCCAUUCUGUAUGCAUACCUCUGUGAGAGGACAAAGCAAAACCUUUGAAAAUGUAUGUGCAUACAUAUCUCUCAGUAAAUAUUUUAAUGUCUGUGUAUUCUUUUGUAAUAUUUAUCUAAAAUGUAGAAAUUCCCAUUAAGGUUUGGUUUAUAAAUGUCUAGUAUAUUUGUGUAAUUUGGAGAAAUAAUUUAAGUUACACUUAAUAAACCAAAGUCAUCUCUCUUACCUACUUGGGUUUAUUAAAUAUUAUAAAUUACAAGGAUGUAAAGUGAUCAUUGUGUUAGAAAACUAUCUUUUCUCAAUUUCCUCUCCCACUUAUACUCUAAUAUCAGAACUUAACAAUCCUUUUAAUAUGAAACCCACAGAAAACUCACUUUUUAUAAGUUGUUUAAAAUAAAAUUUCUUAACAUAUUUAAUUUUGUCCCUCAGUAGCAAUGUGCUUCCAAAAGCAAACAAGAGAUUUACUCAUAAACCAGAAGCCAAAGCAUUAGGAUGGGAUGAAAACCUUCCUCGUAAAGGAAUUUUUAAGCAGCAGAUCAUUUACUGUCAAUCUCUAAAUAAUAUUACAUUAGGAAUGCCUAAGGGUGUCUUGAAACAAAUUAUCCCCAUUUCGGAUUUCACAAUUAAAAGGGAAGGAGGGCUCCCAAACAUCCUUCAUUCCGGAAAUAUGAGCUUGUCCGGAGUGAUGACCCUGGCAGCCAUCAGUGGCUGCAUGUUAACAAAGCAUGCCCUGCAAUUGCAUAUUUGGGACUGAGAGGAUGGCUGGCUUGGUGAGUCACUCAACCCCGGAGGACAUUUUUGCAAAUAGAGGCAAAACGUCAAGACCUUUCUCAAAAAUUAAAUCAGCAAGCUUCCUAGUUAUCCUCCUGACUUAAGUAGAGGGAGUAAAUUCCUAUUCCCUGAAGCACCUUGUAAAAGCAGAGCUGCCCAAGCUCCAUUCAGAGAUGCCUUUAGCAUGAAUGGGAGCUGGAAAGAAAUAACAUUUUCAGCAUAUAAAGCAGGACAAGUUCUCUCUUCCUAUGAACCUAUAUGUAAUACUUUUAUAAAAGAAAUUACUCUGUAGGAUCGAUGCAUAGCAGUUUACUCAUGAUCUCUAUGCAAGGUCAAAAUUUUAAGGAAUAAUUUCACUUGCAAUGUGCUUUUUAUAAAAAGGUUUGAAUCUUUGUUUCCGUGGGUAUCUGUUUCAGAUACUACAAUCUAUCUUCAGCUUUCCAUAUCUAUUUUUAAAUUUUUUUAAAUCUAUUUUAAAUGUGCCUUUGCCCAAUGACUUUAAAUACAAACAUGACAUACACUCAACAGUGCUUUCCAAUAGUACUGCAUGCUAUGAUGAAAAAGUUCUCUAUCUGCAUUGUCCAACAUGGUAGCCUGUGGCCACGUUUGACGAUUGAGCCUUUGCAAUGUGGCCAGUGAGACUGAAGAACUAAAUUUUUAAUUUUUAAAUUGCAAUUACCUUGAACUGAUAUAGCCACGUGUGGCUAGUAGCUACUCUACUGGUAUUGGGCAGCACAGCUUUAGAACAGCUCUUUGAAGCCUUAAUAUGCACCGGGAGAUCUUGUUCAAAGAAAAAUUCAGAUGCGCUAUUUCCAGGGUGAGACCCUGAGAUUCUGUACUUCUAGCAAAUUCCUGGUAAUGCCAAUGCUGCUCCACCAAAGAUUACUGUUUAAGCAGUAAGGCUUUAGAAGAAUAAUUCUCAAACUUUGAUGAUGCAUAUUAAAAUAACCUGGGGGAAGUUCUCUGAUGGCCUAGUGGGUUGAAGCUCCUGCGUUCUCACUGCUGUGGCUCUGGUUUCUGCUGUAUGGUG